CCUACGGGUGGCAGCAGUGAGGAAUAUUGGUCAAUGGGCGGAAGCCUGAACCAGCCAAGCCGCGUGAAGGAAGAAGGUACAACGGAUCGUAAACCUCUUUUGUCAGGGAACAAAGCCGCGUACUUGUCCCCGGUUGCGUGUACCUGAAGAAAAAGCAUCGGCUAACUCCGUGCCAGCAGCCGCGGUAAUACGGAGGAUGCGAGCGUUAUCCGGUUUUAUUGGGUUUAAGGGGUGCGCAGGCGGCCUGUUAAGUCUGCGGUAAAAGCCCGGGGCUCAACCCCGGCGAGCCGUGGAAACUGGCGGGCUGGAGUUGGAGAGAAGUACGCGGAAUGCGCGGUGUAGCGGUGAAAUGCUUAGAUAUGGCGCAGAACCCCGAUUGCGAAGGCAGCGUACUGGCUCCAAACUGACGCUGAGGCACGAAAGCGUGGGUAUCGAACAGGAUUAGAUACCCCUGUAGUC
This 459-nucleotide ribosomal RNA is filed under the name uncultured bacterium. RNAcentral's name for it is "partial 16S ribosomal RNA". It matches the Rfam family "Bacterial small subunit ribosomal RNA", at positions 338 to 795 of the family's 1533-position model. The record is from RNAcentral.